CUGCGGAGGGAAGAACAGUAUUUUGGCUUAAAGCACAGUCCUCCUGAUAGGUCCUGCUCACAGAGAUAUUGCUCUGUAAAAUGCUCGUUGACUGCUGCAAUAGAUGAAAAGCAUUUUGGAGCGAGCGGCCCUGUCAGAGCUGUCCAAACUUCUGUCAUCCAGAGCCAUAUGGACAACUUAGGCUCGUUGCUCUUGUUUGUUAAGUGAGUGGGCAAUACAUGGUGUCCUUAUGUAAUAUUAUCAAAUUUUAACUAUAUCUUUCUGAAUCAAGACAUUUAAAUCUCUUGCUUGGUCAGUAAAAAGUAAUAGUUUUGCACGGGAUGAGUAGCAGCUGUAUUUUCUGUUUUUUUCUGGAUUCAGGCCAGGACACAGAACUGAAAUCAGACUGGUAGUGCUGCCGAUCAUGCCCUGUUCAAGGACAGCUUCUCUUGGGCCUCUCCAGCAUUCAGCAUUCCUGAACACGGAGCAGUCCCAUGUCCUGCAUCACAAAGGCACUGGGGGUCCCCAUGAGCAGAGAAGCUGUGCUUCCUUCACAUGAAGAGUCCCUGACAAACUUGUUAAACUUUUUAAUCAUUUUCUAAUGCUUACAGAGAAUUGAUAGGUGAACUGACCACAGACAUAUGGGUCUCAUUAUCUUCAGUUUUUAUUUAGUAUACACAGAUCUACCGCUCCAGUGUCUGAGCACUGUUAGCUGGCUGAGUGAACCUGACCAAGAUAUAUGAGCUCAGGUAAAUGUUCUGAAUACUGCCUGUCUGCUACACUUUUCAUUUCUUCCCUUAAGCCUUACUUUAUUCACUAGGGAUAAAAGCUAAUGAUUGUUAGGCUGCUGGGAACUCAAGACCUUUCUCAACUGGGCUGAUGUCAUGUCACACCUUAACCCUGGGUUAUGUGCACCUAGAGGAGGAAGCAUCUUUCUAGUUUUGUACAGUGGCACAUCAAAUGACAACUGUAAUCAGCUGCUUACAUAUCCAUGUUGGAUGAGGUAGGCUGUCCUAGGUGACUUCUAAUCAGUUAAUAAACCAGUUUUUUUUGCAGUAGCUGCUAUCUUAGGUGUCUCUUCUCCCUGCAAAGUCACAAUUCUAGAAAGAAUCAUUCAAAAAGUGCUCACAAAUCAAAUGCCAACGACUAUUCCAUUUAAGGAAAAAAAAAAAACAUGUUACCAGUGUGCUUUGUUAGGUCUGAAAUGGGUGCGCUUACACUGGCCUGCGGAGUUUGUGCUGGCUUCCCUGAAGGCGUUGAAGACAUUGAUGAGAGUGAAGUGAUCUCCUGCAGGAUGUGAGAAUUUUCGCCAGCAAGUAAGAGCAAUCUCUUCUGUUCCAGAAGUCUGGACUUAAAGAGCCAAAGAUACUCAUUCAGGUGAAAAAGCAGAAUGUGAAUAACGCAAAGUUUGCCUUUGGGUUGCCCCUGUGAACAGCCUUGGAAAGUCUACACGGGUUUGGAGGUGGCACAAAACAUGCAGCAAGAGAUGAGUUGGGAGUACCUGUUACCAUGGCUGCGAUGGUCAGAACCUGAAGCCCUUUCUGUGUGAUAAAAUGAAUGCAGAAGUAUUACUCUUGACGCACCAGGAAGUGGCUGAUCUAGAGGUUUGCCCAAAGUUCUACAGGGAAUGAAUAUUGAAGAGAGGAUUGAAAGGAGAACCAAUGAAUAGAGAACAACUCUUUCAGCUGUUGGUGUGAACGAUGUGCUAGCAAUCUGUAAAGCUUUCCGCAGAGGACUGGGAAAUGCUCCGGUCUAGGGAAGCAGAUAAGUGUUAAAUAGUUCGUGUUAAUUUAUGUUAUUUGCAUUAUAAUUAACGUUACAGUUUUAAUAUUUAUAUAAUAUUCUGUAUAUGUUCUUUACAUUAAAAUUGCCAUGACAGUGUUACAAUGCUAUAAAUGACAUGCUAUUGUGCUCUUUCAAAUUUCAUUUAUCAGUACGUUCUGAGAGGCUGUAUAUUCUUUUAUGUCUUUAGCUGCUAUCUGCAAAUGUAUCUGAAACACACUGAAACCAUUUUCUCUCACGCCACUGACAAAAAUUAACAGAUGAGCAUUUUAAAUCUCUAUAUAAUAGGUUUUCUCUGCUAAUAUUUUCCUGUUAAUUUUCUUUUUUAUCUAGGUUGUUUUUUUUUUUUUUUUGAAGGCACGUGAAGGUAGACAUCCUGAUAAAGUGGGUUUUACUCCUCUGGUGGCUGUUCCUCAGGAAGGACACAGUCUUCUAAUUCCCUGCAACCCUGGUGGAGCUGCCUGAACUCACAAUGAAGGGGGAUAGCAUUGACUUACAGGCUGUCGGGAGAGGAUGGUGAUUUCCAGGCAGACAAGAGCCUGGUGGCAGCUAAGUCCCUGAGAUCACAAGGUUCUUCUCAGGAAGCUGGAGGUCUGCAGGUCCUGUAGCUCCCACUGGCUGCAGGUGGAGGACGUGGUCUCGUUACUGAAUGGAUAAUUAAUGAUGCCUGUCAGAUGGGUGUUAUCUACACGUUUUGCAUCGUCUCGAAUGCAAAGAGGUUAGUCUUUUACAUGGUACAUUUCUGAAUCCUCGAGAUAAAAUAGUGUUGCUGCUUAUUGGACACUUACUUGCCUGAAAGGACAGUGACAGUGGUGUGGUUUCAGAAAACUAAAGAACAGUGAAAAUGUCUGAAAAAUGGGGAAUUAUAUGAAACCCUG
Molecule: long non-coding RNA, 2639 nt
Organism: Numida meleagris (helmeted guineafowl)
Lineage: Eukaryota; Metazoa; Chordata; Aves; Galliformes; Numididae
Exons: 6
Source: RefSeq, a predicted model, not a curated record